Molecule: transfer RNA, 75 nt
Filed under: Sphingobium yanoikuyae
Lineage: Bacteria; Pseudomonadati; Pseudomonadota; Alphaproteobacteria; Sphingomonadales; Sphingobiaceae
Description: tRNA-Ile
Rfam family: tRNA
About the family: Transfer RNA (tRNA) molecules are approximately 80 nucleotides in length. Their secondary structure includes four short double-helical elements and three loops (D, anti-codon, and T loops).
Source: RNAcentral
GGGCCGGUAGCUCAGGUGGUUAGAGCGCACGCCUGAUAAGCGUGAGGUCGGAGGUUCAACUCCUCCGGCCCACCA